This 253-nucleotide ribosomal RNA is filed under the name uncultured bacterium. RNAcentral's name for it is "partial 16S ribosomal RNA". It matches the Rfam family "Bacterial small subunit ribosomal RNA", at positions 524 to 776 of the family's 1533-position model. The record is from RNAcentral.
UACGUAGGUGACAAGCGUUGUUCGGAAUCAUUGGGCGUAAAGGGCGCGUAGGUGGUCGGGCAUGUCCGCUGUGAAAGCACACAGCUCAACUGUGUUCCGUCGGCGGAAACUGCUCGACUCGAGGCCGGAAGGGGCUGGUGGAAUUCCCUGUGUAGCGGUGAAAUGCGUAGAGAUGGGGGAGAACACUCGUGGCGAAGGCGGCCAGCUGGACCAGUCCUGACACUGAGGCGCGACAGCGUGGGGAGCAAACAGG